This 253-nucleotide ribosomal RNA is filed under the name uncultured bacterium. Its description in RNAcentral is "partial 16S ribosomal RNA". It matches the Rfam family "Bacterial small subunit ribosomal RNA", at positions 524 to 776 of the family's 1533-position model. The record is from RNAcentral.
UACGGGGGGGGCAAGCGUUGUUCGGAAUUACUGGGCGUAAAGGGUUCGUAGGUGGCUCGCUAAGUCAGACGUGAAAUCCCUCAGCUCAACUGGGGAACUGCGUCUGAGACUGGCAAGCUCGAGUGCAGGAGAGGAACGCGGAAUUCCAGGUGUAGCGGUGAAAUGCGUAGAUAUCUGGAGGAACACCGGUGGCGAAGGCGGCGUUCUGGACUGCAACUGACACUGAGGAACGAAAGCCAGGGGAGCAAACGGG